CAUGGUCUUCUGGGAAAGCCUUUGCGGCAUGGGAUGGGGUCGCGUCCUAUCAGCUUGAUGGCGGGGUAACGGCCCACCAUGGCUUCGACGGGUAGCCGGCCUGAGAGGGCGACCGGCCACAUUGGGACUGAGAUACGGCCCAGACUCCUACGGGAGGCAGCAGUGGGGAAUAUUGCACAAUGGGCGCAAGCCUGAUGCAGCGACGCCGCGUGAGGGAUGGAGGCCUUCGGGUUGUAAACCUCUUUUGUUAGGGAGCAAGGCAUUUUGUGUUGAGUGUACCUUUCGAAUAAGCACCGGCUAACUACGUGCCAGCAGCCGCGGUAAUACGUAGGGUGCAAGCGUUAUCCGGAAUUAUUGGGCGUAAAGGGCUCGUAGGCGGUUCGUCGCGUCCGGUGUGAAAGUCCAUCGCUUAACGGUGGAUCCGCGCCGGGUACGGGCGGGCUUGAGUGCGGUAGGGGAGACUGGAAUUCCCGGUGUAACGGUGGAAUGUGUAGAUAUCGGAAAAA
This 506-nucleotide ribosomal RNA is filed under the name Bifidobacterium breve. Its description in RNAcentral is "bacterial SSU rRNA". It matches the Rfam family "Bacterial small subunit ribosomal RNA", at positions 189 to 705 of the family's 1533-position model. The record is from RNAcentral. Lineage: Bacteria; Bacillati; Actinomycetota; Actinomycetes; Bifidobacteriales; Bifidobacteriaceae.